Molecule: ribosomal RNA, 298 nt
Filed under: uncultured Sphingomonadaceae bacterium
Lineage: Bacteria; Pseudomonadati; Pseudomonadota; Alphaproteobacteria; Sphingomonadales; Sphingomonadaceae
Description: partial 16S ribosomal RNA
Rfam family: Bacterial small subunit ribosomal RNA
Source: RNAcentral
UAACGCGUGGGAAUCUGCCCUGGAGUGGGGGAUAACCGAGGGAAACCUCGGCUAAUACCGCAUACGUCCUUCGGGAGAAAGAUUUAUCGCCCGAGGAGGGGCCCGCGUCGGAUUAGCUAGUUGGUGAGGUAACGGCUCACCAAGGCGAUGAUCCGUAGCUGGUCUGAGAGGAUGAUCAGCCACACUGGGACUGAGACACGGCCCAGACUCCUACGGGAGGCAGCAGUGGGGUUUAUUGGACAAUGGGGGCAACCCUGAUCCAGCAAUGCCGCGUUAGUGAUGAAGGCCUUAGGGUUGU